This 465-nucleotide ribosomal RNA is filed under the name uncultured bacterium. RNAcentral describes it as "partial 16S ribosomal RNA". It matches the Rfam family "Bacterial small subunit ribosomal RNA", at positions 28 to 507 of the family's 1533-position model. The record is from RNAcentral.
GACGAACGCUGGCGGCGUGCUUAACACAUGCAAGUCGAACGGAAAGGCCCUGCUCGCAGGGUACUCGAGUGGCGAACGGGUGAGUAACACGUGGGUGAUCUGCCCUGCACUUCGGGAUAAGCCUGGGAAACUGGGUCUAAUACCGGAUAGGAGCCAUUCUUAGGGUGAUGGUUGGAAAGUUUUUUCGGUGUAGGAUGAGCUCGCGGCCUAUCAGCUUGUUGGUGGGGUAAUGACCUACCAAGGCGGCGACGGGUAGCCGGCCUGGGAGGGUGGACGGCCACCUUGGGGCUGAGGUAAGGCCCAGACUCCUACGGGGGGCAGCAGUGGGGAAUAUUGCACAAUGGGCGCAAGCCUGAUGCAGCGACGCCGCGUGGGGGAUGACGGCCUUCGGGUUGGAAACCCCUUUCGCUAGGGACGAAGCUUUUUGUGACGGUACCUAGAUAAGAAGCACCGGCUAACUACGUG